RNAcentral lists this ribosomal RNA (2928 nucleotides) under Salmonella enterica subsp. enterica serovar 43:a:1,7. Its description in RNAcentral is "23S ribosomal RNA". It matches the Rfam family "Bacterial large subunit ribosomal RNA". The record is from RNAcentral. Lineage: Bacteria; Pseudomonadati; Pseudomonadota; Gammaproteobacteria; Enterobacterales; Enterobacteriaceae.
GGGUUGUGAGGUUAAGCGACUAAGCGUACACGGUGGAUGCCCUGGCAGUCAGAGGCGAUGAAGGGCGUGCUAAUCUGCGAUAAGCGCCGGUAAGGUGAUAUGAACCGUUAUAACCGGCGAUACCCGAAUGGGGAAACCCAGUGUGAUUCGUCACACUAUCAUUAACUGAAUCCAUAGGUUAAUGAGGCGAACCGGGGGAACUGAAACAUCUAAGUACCCCGAGGAAAAGAAAUCAACCGAGAUUCCCCCAGUAGCGGCGAGCGAACGGGGAGGAGCCCAGAGCCUGAAUCAGCAUGUGUGUUAGUGGAAGCGUCUGGAAAGGCGCGCGAUACAGGGUGACAGCCCCGUACACAAAAGCGCAUGUGCUGUGAGCUCGAUGAGUAGGGCGGGACACGUGGUAUCCUGUCUGAAUAUGGGGGGACCAUCCUCCAAGGCUAAAUACUCCUGACUGACCGAUAGUGAACCAGUACCGUGAGGGAAAGGCGAAAAGAACCCCGGCGAGGGGAGUGAAAAAGAACCUGAAACCGUGUACGUACAAGCAGUGGGAGCACAGGUUUACCUGUGUGACUGCGUACCUUUUGUAUAAUGGGUCAGCGACUUAUAUUCUGUAGCAAGGUUAACCGAAUAGGGGAGCCGGAGGGAAACCGAGUCUUAACCGGGCGUUAAGUUGCAGGGUAUAGACCCGAAACCCGGUGAUCUAGCCAUGGGCAGGUUGAAGGUUGGGUAACACUAACUGGAGGACCGAACCGACUAAUGUUGAAAAAUUAGCGGAUGACCUGUGGCUGGGGGUGAAAGGCCAAUCAAACCGGGAGAUAGCUGGUUCUCCCCGAAAGCUAUUUAGGUAGCGCCUCGUGAAUUCAUCUCCGGGGGUAGAGCACUGUUUCGGCUAGGGGGCCAUCCCGGCUUACCAACCCGAUGCAAACUGCGAAUACCGGAGAAUGUUAUCACGGGAGACACACGGCGGGUGCUAACGUCCGUCGUGAAGAGGGAAACAACCCAGACCGCCAGCUAAGGUCCCAAAGUCAUGGUUAAGUGGGAAACGAUGUGGGAAGGCCCAGACAGCCAGGAUGUUGGCUUAGAAGCAGCCAUCAUUUAAAGAAAGCGUAAUAGCUCACUGGUCGAGUCGGCCUGCGCGGAAGAUGUAACGGGGCUAAACCAUGCACCGAAGCUGCGGCAGCGACACUGUGUGUUGUUGGGUAGGGGAGCGUUCUGUAAGCCUGCGAAGGUGGCCUGUGAGGGUUGCUGGAGGUAUCAGAAGUGCGAAUGCUGACAUAAGUAACGAUAAAGCGGGUGAAAAGCCCGCUCGCCGGAAGACCAAGGGUUCCUGUCCAACGUUAAUCGGGGCAGGGUGAGUCGACCCCUAAGGCGAGGCCGAAAGGCGUAGUCGAUGGGAAACGGGUUAAUAUUCCCGUACUUGGUGUUACUGCGAAGGGGGGACGGAGAAGGCUAUGUUGGCCGGGCGACGGUUGUCCCGGUUUAAGCGUGUAGGUGUGUGUUCCAGGUAAAUCCGGUUCACUUUAACACUGAGGCGUGAUGACGAGGCACUACGGUGCUGAAGCAACAAAUGCCCUGCUUCCAGGAAAAGCCUCUAAGCAUCAGGUAACAUCAAAUCGUACCCCAAACCGACACAGGUGGUCAGGUAGAGAAUACCAAGGCGCUUGAGAGAACUCGGGUGAAGGAACUAGGCAAAAUGGUGCCGUAACUUCGGGAGAAGGCACGCUGACACGUAGGUGAAGUGAUUUACUCAUGGAGCUGAAGUCAGUCGAAGAUACCAGCUGGCUGCAACUGUUUAUUAAAAACACAGCACUGUGCAAACACGAAAGUGGACGUAUACGGUGUGACGCCUGCCCGGUGCCGGAAGGUUAAUUGAUGGGGUCAGCGCAAGCGAAGCUCCUGAUCGAAGCCCCGGUAAACGGCGGCCGUAACUAUAACGGUCCUAAGGUAGCGAAAUUCCUUGUCGGGUAAGUUCCGACCUGCACGAAUGGCGUAAUGAUGGCCAGGCUGUCUCCACCCGAGACUCAGUGAAAUUGAACUCGCUGUGAAGAUGCAGUGUACCCGCGGCAAGACGGAAAGACCCCGUGAACCUUUACUAUAGCUUGACACUGAACAUUGAGCCUUGAUGUGUAGGAUAGGUGGGAGGCUUUGAAGCGUGGACGCCAGUCUGCGUGGAGCCGACCUUGAAAUACCACCCUUUAAUGUUUGAUGUUCUAACGUGGACCCGUGAUCCGGGUUGCGGACAGUGUCUGGUGGGUAGUUUGACUGGGGCGGUCUCCUCCUAAAGAGUAACGGAGGAGCACGAAGGUUGGCUAAUCCUGGUCGGACAUCAGGAGGUUAGUGCAAUGGCAUAAGCCAGCUUGACUGCGAGCGUGACGGCGCGAGCAGGUGCGAAAGCAGGUCAUAGUGAUCCGGUGGUUCUGAAUGGAAGGGCCAUCGCUCAACGGAUAAAAGGUACUCCGGGGAUAACAGGCUGAUACCGCCCAAGAGUUCAUAUCGACGGCGGUGUUUGGCACCUCGAUGUCGGCUCAUCACAUCCUGGGGCUGAAGUAGGUCCCAAGGGUAUGGCUGUUCGCCAUUUAAAGUGGUACGCGAGCUGGGUUUAGAACGUCGUGAGACAGUUCGGUCCCUAUCUGCCGUGGGCGCUGGAGAACUGAGGGGGGCUGCUCCUAGUACGAGAGGACCGGAGUGGACGCAUCACUGGUGUUCGGGUUGUCAUGCCAAUGGCACUGCCCGGUAGCUAAAUGCGGAAGAGAUAAGUGCUGAAAGCAUCUAAGCACGAAACUUGCCCCGAGAUGAGUUCUCCCUGAGACUUUAAGUCUCCUGAAGGAACGUUGAAGACGACGACGUUGAUAGGCCGGGUGUGUAAGCGCAGCGAUGCGUUGAGCUAACCGGUACUAAUGAACCGUGAGGCUUAACCUUACAACGCCGAAG